Molecule: long non-coding RNA, 2777 nt
Organism: Bos taurus (domestic cattle)
Lineage: Eukaryota; Metazoa; Chordata; Mammalia; Artiodactyla; Bovidae
Source: Ensembl
GGAGCUGAGUGCGGACUAGUAAGAGAGUGAGACUCCUAGAAUCUCUGAUCUUAGGGGAUCACUCAUACUUUCAUGGACUUUACUUCUAGGAAACCCACCAGGUUCUCACAGUGAAGAACCAAGAAACAUCACCUCAUGGCUCUGACAGGUGGUGGAAAAGUUUUCCUAAUUUGAAAUAAAUCCAGAGUGAUUUCCAUAACAAAGCCCUGCCCUUCAGGGGAAAGAUUCUACCCAAGUCUUUGUCCAUUUGGGAGAAGUGCUCUCCCCUGCCUCCAGCCCUCAAUGUGUUUGUUUCCUGUCCUGCCUAACAGAGAAGGGGUCCAAGGGACACUUGUGAAGGUCACCUACCAGCGACCAAAGCACACUCAAACACUGAGAUUUAACUACAAAACUAUAGAAUGCUUUCCCUCCCAGACACCUCACCACCACACAAACAGGGCUGUGAUGUAGCAGGGGGCUAUGGUUGAAAAUGCAGAUUCUGUCUAAGGAGGACUUCUCAGGGAAUCAUCCCUGGGCAGCAGGGGAGAUGAACAGAAAGGCACUGCAGAAACCUGACGCCUCCCGCACCUACACCUACAGCUACAUUAAACAAUCCUGGAUUGAGAAAUCAGUGUGUGGAUAAGCUUUUGACCUGACUUUUGAACAGAAUGUCAUUCUUUCCUCCAAACCUUAUCAGUCGUGAGGUUGAAAGAUGAGAAAAUCUGAAGGACAGAGAAGUAUAUCUCCAGGCAUACAGUUAUAAAACAGCCAGGUCAAAAUUGAACCAGAAGUCUAAUGCCAAAGUCCAAGAAAUGAUAAAAUUGUUCCUAUCACCCUUUUAAAGAUGAGAAGCGGAGUCUAAGAGGUUAAACAGUUUGCCUACUGUGAGGUCAGUCAAUGAGUUUCAGAGCAGAGGGGCAGAGAAUGCUUUACUCCAAAGCUUGAAACAACUGUGCUGCUGACGGAGCAGAGUCUAAAGAUAAGAGAGAGAGGGCACAACAUGUGGAAUAAGAACCUCCAGAAGCAGAAGAGGAUAACAACGCAGGUGAAGCAAUUCAUCUGUUAUCUGCAACAUGUGAGCAAAUCCAGGAAUGUACAGAUCACAGGAUUGGAAAGAAACUCUUCAAGGCCAACCCUGCUGCUUUCUUAAUACACCACAAACAAAAACAGACGGUAAAUGUAUUUCCUGCCCAGGGAAGGAGGUCAGAGUCCAGGGGGAGGUGUGAAGAGGGAUGAAAGUAACUCUCUAUCAUUCACAAUUCUCUUUGCUAUCGUUUAGCACUGGUGACCACCAAGAAUUCUUAGUCCAAGCAGAAUGGCUUCCUGUCUCCACAUGCAAACACCUCUCUGCAGGUUCUCAAAGCCUCAGGAUAAUGUUUACCCAAGCAUCCUUUCUGACAUUUAUCUCAGAGAAACAAAAGCUUAUGUUCCCACAAAAACCCAUACACAAUGCUUAUAGCAGUCGUUGUCUUAAUAAUCAAAAAUGUGAAAACCAGCCAAAGGUCCUUCAAAGGGUGAAUGGUUAAACAUACUCUGAUAAAUCUUCACCAUCCAAUACUACUGAGCAAUAAAAAGGAACAGUUAUUGAUACACAUUGCUAUAGAUUUGUAGGCAAUUGUGAGUGAAAAAAAAUCUCAAAAGUAUGUAUACUGUAUAAUUCUAUUUAUAUAACAUUCUUGAAACGACAAAAUUAUAGAAAUGGAGAACAGAUUAGAGGUUUCCAAGGGUUAAGGAGGAACACUGAAGAGGAAAGUAGUUGUAGUGAUGAGAAGGUACAAAGGUAUUUGUGAGGGAAUAGAUUCGUGUCUUGGAGAAGGCAAUGGUACCCCACUCCAGUACUCUUGCCUGGAAAAUCCCAUGGACGGAGAAGCCUGGUGGGCUGCAGUCCAUGGGGUCGCUAAGAGUCAGACACGACUGAGCAACUUCACUUUCACACAUUGGAGAAGGAAAUGGCAACCCACUCCAGUGUUCUUGCCUGGAGAAUCCCAGGGAUGGGGGAGCCUGGUGGGCUGCCGUCUAUGGGGUCGCACAGAGUCGGACACGACUGAAGCGACUUAGCAGCAGCAGCAGCAGAUUCGUGUCUUGACUGUGGGGGUGGCCACACAAAUCUGCAUAUGCAGUGAAACUGCACAGAACUAUGUGCACACAUAUCACAAACAAAUGCAUGCAAAACUGGUGAAAGUUAGUCAUUGGAUUGUAUCAGUGUCAUUUUCCUGGUUGUGAUACUGUGUUAUUCUUCUACAAAAUGUUCCUCUUGUGGGAAUCCAGGUGAAGGGUAAACAAAAACCUCUCUGUAUUAUUUCUUACCACUGCAUAUGAAUAUGCAGUUAUCUCAAAAAGUGUUUAGUCUUAUAAGUAAAAGCCUUUAAAGAUUGUUACAUAGUCUGUCUUUUUAUACUUGAAUCACUCCAGAAUAGAUUCUGGACACAAACUGAUACAGUCAAGUUAUUUGAAUGUUCUUAAGACUAAGACCAGAGAAGGCAAUGGCACCCCACUCCAGUACUCUUGCCUGGAAAAUCCCAUGGACGGAGGAGCCCAGUAGGCUGCAUUCCAUGGGGUCGAGAAGAGUCAGACACAACUGAGCGACUUCACUUUCACUUUUCACUUUCAUGCAUUGGAGAAGGAAAUGGCAACCCACUCCAAUGUUCUUGCCUGGAGAAUCCCAGGGACAGGGGAGUCUGGUGGGCUGCUGUCUAUGGGGUCGCACAGAGUCAGACACGACUGAAAUGACUUAGCACAGCAGCAGCAAUACUAAGACAAAUACAUACUGAUCAGUGUUUGUUGAAUAAAUCCAGGUG